Molecule: ribosomal RNA, 200 nt
Filed under: uncultured bacterium
Lineage: Bacteria
Description: partial 16S ribosomal RNA
Rfam family: Bacterial small subunit ribosomal RNA
Source: RNAcentral
AGAGUUUGAUCAUGGCUCAGGAUAAACGCUGGCGGCGUGCCUAACACAUGCAAGUCGAACGCCCUUGAGCAAUCGAGGGAGUGGCGGACGGGUGAGUAACGCGUGGAUCAUCUAUCCUCGGGUGAGGAAUACUGGCGAGAAAUCGCCAACAAUACCGCAUAGGCUUGUGCAAACAAGCAAAGCAUCGCAAGAUGCGCCAG